UAAUCUUGAUCUUGAUAUAACAGUAUGCUCAGUAGCAUAUACUUAAGGUUUCAUGUGCGUAUAUAUAGCAAAAUUCAAAGCUACGCAAUUUGUUAUUUCUUCCAAAUAUGUACCUCCAACUUUACAGGACAUGGAAAUUGGAAGAAGAUUUAAAGUCAUCAAGCAGCUUAUGCCAUGCAUACCCUUUCAAUCAAGGGAGUGGAACCAGAGGGGAAAAGAUUGAAAUGGAGAGAAAAAGACAAACUGAGAGAGCUGACGAGACUACUCACUUUGGAGAAGUACAUGAUGUUCCUCAUAAUGUGUCAAGUUAACAAAACAAAAGAAACAGAAACAAGAAACAAAAGAGCAGCAGAGAACUCGGUGGUGGAUUAAAGGGGAAAUACUGACUCCCACAAAUCAAAAUGAUUGAACAAUAUAGGAGUUACUUCAGCAGAUUCUCCUGGAUGAAAGCAGCAGGGCUAGUUGUGGCUGUAAUGGGAAGACACAGCUCAAGCUAUAAAUACUAUAUCUCCAAAUAAGAAAGUCCUGGUUGAUCAGUACAUCUGAAAUGAAACAAGACAGGGAGAUAGAGAUGAAGGUAAGGGGAGCAACUCUGUCUUCAGUCUUUUUGUCUGCCCAACCUUUUACUUUCUCUCUGGACCUACUGUGGACCUCUCAGGUGUCACUGAAUGAUAUCACACACACACACACACACAAAUGCACACCGGUAGAUAAAGAGCCAAAAGAGAUGACAGAAAGAGAUGAAAAAGCAAGAUGAGGGAAAGAAGGAGGCACAGUCAGAAAGAAAGACGGAGCCAGGGUGAUUCUUUGCCAGCAGUCUAUUAGUUAAUCCCUGUGUUUAUCCAGUCGAGUGCAGUAUCUUACCUGAUGAUGGCAGUGAUAAAACAUACGGUUUUAUAUCUAAGCAACUACCUGACCAAACACAGCCGGGCCAAGGACAUGGCGCUGCACGGCAGUUUUCUGUACAAGCCUGUGAAAGAGUUGCAAGGCUUUCUCCAUCAAGCCUUUCUCCACUAAAAGAAAAACGCGAGAAGACGUAAUAGUCAAUCUUUAAAUCUCAGAAGUCAAAUAUAUAGGUGGACGGAACAUACUAUCUCAUGUCAGAAAGUAUAAGACGGGCCUAUCCGUACGAAUACAAGGGCAUGAACAAAGCUUGAAGUGUAAUAUUCAAUUCAUUCGAUCUACAACGUAUGUAACUUUUAAUCCUGAGCUGAUAGAUUUAAGGGUCACAUGUUCUAUGUGAGGAUAUGUAGGAAAUAAACCAUAG
Long non-coding RNA from Oreochromis niloticus (Nile tilapia), 1267 nucleotides. RefSeq lists it as uncharacterized. The transcript has 3 exons. The record is from RefSeq and is a predicted model, not a curated record. Lineage: Eukaryota; Metazoa; Chordata; Actinopteri; Cichliformes; Cichlidae.